This 378-nucleotide unclassified non-coding RNA is filed under the name uncultured bacterium. Its description in RNAcentral is "contains 16S-23S intergenic spacer region". The record is from RNAcentral.
UCACGUCUUACGACGGCAGUUUCACUAGAGUUCCCAGCGUUACCUGAUGGCAACUAGUGAUGGGGGUUGCGCUCGUUGCGGGACUUAACCCAGCACCUCACGACACGAGCUGACGACAGCCAUGCACCACCUGUGCACGAGCCCCGAAGGGCUGCCGUGUUUCCACGACAUUCCCGUGCAUGUCAAGCCUUGGUAAGGUUCUUCGCGUUGCAUCGAAUUGAGCCACAUACUCCACCGCUUGUGCAGGCCCCCGUCAAUUUCUUUGAGUUUUAAUCUUGCGACCGUACUCCCCAGGCGGCACGUUUAACGCGUUAGCUUCGCCACAAAAGGGGUUGAUUCCUCUUACAGCAAACGUGCACCGUUUACGGCUAGGACUAC